RNAcentral lists this long non-coding RNA (599 nucleotides) under Homo sapiens (human). RNAcentral's name for it is "HSALNT0336966". The record is from RNAcentral. Lineage: Eukaryota; Metazoa; Chordata; Mammalia; Primates; Hominidae.
GAAGCCUACACAUGACUCAGUGAGAAAGAAUGGACAGCCCAACAGAUCAACACCCACGGCCAAUGAUACAUCAGAACACACUUCAUCACAGAUGACAGGAGGAAAGUGAAGUGGGAGGUGAAUGAUGUGCAAAGGACCAUGGAAUGUGGAACCUUGCCCAGCCUGCUGCUCAGGAGGCGAUUGCUCAAGGCUGUCUUAUGCAGAGGAGGUCAACAGUUGACCCAUGAACCAUUUAAACUGGAAGGAAGAAUUAACCAAUACCCUGAGAGAUUGACUACAACUACUUUUUCCUGAAAGUUAGAGUGCAGAGUACAGGAGAGGAAGGCCAUUUACUAAUUUUCCUGCUUCCUUCACCAGUCCUCUACCUCUCCAUACCUAAGGUCCUUCACUCAAUAUACUCAAGUCUUCUCUGCUAUGUCUGCAUUCCCACAUGCCACGGCAUAUAAAAGGUAGGAUAAGGAGUUCCAUCACUUCACACAAGCAUCUACCAGGAGGAGGAAAAUAAAAACAUUUUACCAUCAACUUCGCCACUUGCUGUGAAACCGAAGGCUUGUUAUAUAAGCGUUUGGGGACAUAAUGAAUGUGACUUACAUAUGUCA